Danio rerio (zebrafish) is the source of this 528-nucleotide non-coding RNA. Lineage: Eukaryota; Metazoa; Chordata; Actinopteri; Cypriniformes; Danionidae. The record is from RefSeq and is a predicted model, not a curated record.
CAACCAAGGGUGGUCCCAAAAACAGGGCCUGGAGUUUUCUUCUAAGCAGCAGAGAUGGAAACAAACCAUUAAGGAAUUAUAGCUAAGAAUGGGAUCGGUGUGGACUUUGCUGCUGUUGCUCAUCUGCUUCAAAGUUGGAGGCAUAUUAUGCAUCCAGAGAUGCUCUUCUGUAGACCUCAGUUGUAACCAGUAGUUUUUUUUAGUACUGCAACCUUUGCCUUUCUAUCGGUUUUGCCCACAUAUCUUUACUAGUCUCUGUAAAUUCACAGCAGACUCAACAUUUGUGAAAUACUCAGAAGUUAGAACAGCCCGUCCGGUACCAACAACCAGGCAACAUUUAUUAUUAAAUGUUUAUAUUAAAUUAUUAAAUUAAAUGUAUAUAAAAUGACUUAUUGCCGAUCUGAUAUUUAUUUUGAACUUUAGCAGAACAUCCAUCUCUGUGCAUAAAUGCAUUUUUUGCUGCUAUGUGAUUUGCAUGAACAAUUGUUAGCAAUCACGAAUACCUAAUAAAAUGGCCAGUGACUGUAA